GAUGAAGAACGUAGCGAAAUGCGAUAAGUAAUGUGAAUUGCAGAAUUCAGUGAAUCAUCGAAUCUUUGAACGCACCUUGCACCCUUUGGCAUUCCGAAGGGUAUGCUCGUUUGAGUGUCAUUGUACUCUCACACUCCCAAUUGCUUUGGAUUGGGAGCGGUGGACUUGGGUGUUGCUGCUUGACUGAGGCUCACCUGAAAUAUGUUAGUGCACCUCUUGAUUGGACAUAGUACGGCGUGAUAAGUGUCUUCGCCGGCUCCUCGCAAAGAGGGUGGCCGAUCGGGAGCUCUGUUGCUUCAAACUGUCUUCGGACAAUCUUCUGGCGACUAGACCUCAAAUCGAGUAGGACUACCCGCUGAACUUAAGCAUAUCAAUAAGCGGAGGA
Molecule: unclassified non-coding RNA, 385 nt
Filed under: soil metagenome
Description: partial contains 5.8S ribosomal RNA, internal transcribed spacer 2, and large subunit ribosomal RNA
Rfam family: 5.8S ribosomal RNA (bases 1-120)
Source: RNAcentral